UACGGAGGGUGCAAGCGUUAUCCGGAUUUACUGGGUUAAAGGGUGUGUAGGCGGGCUUUUAAGUCAGUGGAUGAAUCUCCGGGCUCAACCUGGAAACUGCCAUUGAUACUAUUAGUCUUGAAUAUUGUUGAGGUAGGCGGAAUAAGUCAUGUAGCGGUGAAAUGCAUAGAUAUGACUUAGAACACCGAUUGCGAAGGCAGCUUGCUAAACA
RNAcentral lists this ribosomal RNA (211 nucleotides) under uncultured bacterium. RNAcentral describes it as "partial 16S ribosomal RNA". It matches the Rfam family "Bacterial small subunit ribosomal RNA", at positions 524 to 735 of the family's 1533-position model. The record is from RNAcentral.